AACCGCGGUUAUACGAGAGGCCCGAAUUGACGCCUCACGGCGUAAAGUGUGAUUAGAGACUAACCUAAACUAAAGCCGAAUACCCCUUAUGCUGUCAUACGCCAUAGGGGUCACGAAGCCCAACAGCGAAAGUGGCUUUAUAAAUCUUGAACUCACGACAGCUAGGACA
Molecule: ribosomal RNA, 169 nt
Filed under: Gymnothorax pictus
Lineage: Eukaryota; Metazoa; Chordata; Actinopteri; Anguilliformes; Muraenidae
Description: partial 12S rRNA
Source: RNAcentral